GGCCCCGUAGCUCAGCUGGAUAGAGCAACUGACUUCUAAUCAUUGGGUCGCCGGUUCGAGUCCGGCCGGGGUCACUA
RNAcentral lists this transfer RNA (77 nucleotides) under Bifidobacterium callitrichos DSM 23973. RNAcentral describes it as "tRNA-Arg". It matches the Rfam family "tRNA". Rfam says of the family: Transfer RNA (tRNA) molecules are approximately 80 nucleotides in length. Their secondary structure includes four short double-helical elements and three loops (D, anti-codon, and T loops). The record is from RNAcentral. Lineage: Bacteria; Bacillati; Actinomycetota; Actinomycetes; Bifidobacteriales; Bifidobacteriaceae.